Microcebus murinus (gray mouse lemur) is the source of this 1106-nucleotide non-coding RNA. NCBI's taxonomy places the organism in Eukaryota, Metazoa, Chordata, Mammalia, Primates, Cheirogaleidae. The record is from RefSeq and is a predicted model, not a curated record.
GUCGGGGCUGAGUGGUUUUUCGGAUCAUGUCUGGUGGCUCUGCAGAUUAUAACAGAGAACAUGGUGGCCCAGAGGGAAUGGACCCCAAUGGUGUCAUCGAGAGCAACUGGAAUGAGAUUGUUGAUAACUUUGAUGAUAUGAAUUUAAAAGAGUCUCUUCUUCGGGGCAUCUAGGCUUAUGGUUUUGAGAAGCCUUCAGCUAUUCAGCAGAGAGCUAUUAUUGCUUGUAUUAAAGAUCCAAAAGGUAAUUCUGGCACUUGGAGACUAUAUGGGAGCAACUUGUCAUGCUUGCAUUGGUGGAACGAAUGUUCGAAAUGAAAUGUAAAAACUUCAGGCUGAAGCACCACAUAUUGUAGUUGGUACAGCAGGGAGAGUGUUUGAUAUGUUAAACAGAAGAUACCUUUCUCCAAAAUGGAUCAAAAUGUUUGUUUUGGAUGAAGCAGAUGAAAUGUUGAGCCGAGGGUUUAAGGAUCAAAUCUAUGAGAUUUUCCAAAAAUUAAAUACAAGUAUUCAGGUUGUGUUGCUCUCUGCCACAAUGCCAACUGAUGUGUUGGAAGUGACCAAAAAAUUCAUGAGAGAUACAAUUCGAAUUCUGGUGAAAAAGGAAGAAUUGACUCUUGAAGGAAUCAGUUUUAUAUUAAUGUUGAAAGAGAGGAAUGGAAGUUGGAUUCACUUUGUGGCUUGUAUGAGACACUGACCAUUACACAGGCUGUUAUAUUUAUCAAUACAAGGCGCAAGGUGGAUUGGCUUACUGAGAAAAUUCACGCCAGAGACUUCACAGUGUCUGCUCUGCAUGGUGACAUGGACCAGAAGGAGAGAGAUGUUAUCAUGAGGGAAUUCCGAUCAGGGUCAAGCCGUGUUCUGAUCACUACUGACUUGUUGGCUCGUGGGAUUGAUGUGCAACAAGUGUCUUUGGUUAUAAACUAUGACCUACCUACCAAUCGUGAAAACUACAUUCAGAGAAUUGGCAGAGGGGGUCGAUUUGGGAGGAAAGGUGUGGCUAUAAACUUUAUUACUGAAGAAGACAAGAAGAUUCUUCAUGGCAUUAAGACUUUUUACAAUACUACUGUGGAGGAAAUGCCCAUGAAUGUAGCUGACCUUAUUUAA